MicroRNA precursor from Oryza sativa Indica Group (long-grained rice), 207 nucleotides. It matches the Rfam family "MIR812 microRNA precursor family". The record is from Rfam. NCBI's taxonomy places the organism in Eukaryota, Viridiplantae, Streptophyta, Magnoliopsida, Poales, Poaceae.
AAAAAAGUAAGCCAUGUAUUUCUAUGUCCAAUAUUUAACUGUCCGUUUUAUAUAAAUUUUUUUUACAAUUAGUAUUUUUAUUGUUGUUAGAAGAUAAAACAUAAUUAAUACUUUAUGCGUGACUUGUCUUUUUAAUUUUUUUCAUAAUUUUUUUAAAUAAGAUAGAUGGUUAAAUGUUGGACACGAAAAAUAAAAGUUUGUCUUUCU